RNAcentral lists this ribosomal RNA (653 nucleotides) under uncultured Alphaproteobacteria bacterium. RNAcentral's name for it is "bacterial SSU rRNA". It matches the Rfam family "Bacterial small subunit ribosomal RNA", at positions 35 to 720 of the family's 1533-position model. Lineage: Bacteria; Pseudomonadati; Pseudomonadota; Alphaproteobacteria. The record is from RNAcentral.
GCUGGCGGCAUGCCUAACACAUGCAAGUCGAACGAAGGCCCUAGCUUGCUAGGUGUCCUUAGUGGCGAACGGGUGAGUAACGCGUGGGGAUCUGCCCUAGAGUGGGGAAUAACGUUUGGAAACGAACGCUAAUACCGCAUACGCCCUUUUGGGGAAAGGCUUCGGCCGCUCUUGGAUGAUCCCGCGACUGAUUAGCUUGUUGGUGGGGUAACGGCCUACCAAGGCGACGAUCAGUAGCUGGUCUGAGAGGAUGAUCAGCCACACUGGGACUGAGACACGGCCCAGACUCCUACGGGAGGCAGCAGUGGGGAAUAUUGGACAAUGGGGGAAACCCUGAUCCAGCAAUGCCGCGUGAGUGAAGAAGGCCUUAGGGUUGUAAAACUCUUUCACUGAUGAAGAUGAUGACGGUAAUCAGAGAAGAAGCCCCGGCUAACUCCGUGCCAGCAGCCGCGGUAAUACGGAGGGGGCUAGCGUUGUUCGGAUUUACUGGGCGUAAAGCGCACGUAGGCGGCAUAUCAAGUCAGAGGUGAAAGGCCUGGGCUCAACCUGGGAACUGCCUUUGAUACUGGUAUGCUUGAGUUCGGAAGAGGGUAGUGGAAUUCCAAGUGUAGAGGUGAAAUUCGUAGAUAUUUGGAAGAACACCGGUGGCGAAG